AGGCAAAUCCGCUUUGAUAAUGCUGGGAUGUGAUGGGGAGCGAAAUUUAGUAGCGAAGUAGCUGAUUUCACACUGUCAAGAAAAGUCUCUAUCGAGGUUAAAGGUACCCGUACCGCAAACCGACACAGGUGGGUGAGGAGAGUAUCCUAAGGCCAGCGAGAGAACUGUUGUUAAGGAACUCGGCAAAAUGACCCCGUAACUUAGGGAUAAGGGGUGCCACCAUCAGGUGGCCGCAGAGAAUAGGCCCAAGCGACUGUUUACCAAAAACAUAGGUUUCUGCUAAGUCGCAAGACGAUGUAUAGGAGCUGACGCCUGCCCGGUGCUGGAAGGUUAAGGGGAUCUGUUAGAGCAAUCGAAGCAGUGAACUUAAGCCCCAGUAAACGGCGGCCGUAACUAUAACGGUCCUAAGGUAGCGAAAUUCCUUGUCGGGUAAGUUCCGACCCGCACGAAAGGCGUAACGAUUUGGGCACUGUCUCAACAACAGACUCGGUGAAAUUGUAAUUCCGGUGAAGAUGCCGGAUACCUGCGACAGGACGGAAAGACCCCAUGGAGCUUUACUGUAGCUUGACAUUGGGUCUUGGUACUACAUGUACAGGAUAGGUGGGAGGCUUUGAAACCAGGACGCCAGUUUUGGCGGAGCCAUCCUUGGGAUACCACCCUUGUAGUACUGGGACUCUAACCAUAGGCCAUGAAUCUGGUCUUGGGACACUGUCAGGUGGGCAGUUUGACUGGGGCGGUCGCCUCCCAAAAGG
RNAcentral lists this ribosomal RNA (752 nucleotides) under Clostridioides difficile. RNAcentral's name for it is "partial 23S ribosomal RNA". It matches the Rfam family "Bacterial large subunit ribosomal RNA", at positions 1534 to 2297 of the family's 2925-position model. Lineage: Bacteria; Bacillati; Bacillota; Clostridia; Peptostreptococcales; Peptostreptococcaceae. The record is from RNAcentral.